AUCUAGUCCUACAGGAUCCCACUAAAGAGGGCAACCUCCUCCUUUUCUUCAAGUCAUGGUGGCAACUCAGCAAUUUGUCUAAACUUGGGCGAAAGAAUGAAGAGCUUCAGCACGUACUACCGAUGAUGUCCCAGGAUUGAGUGUCCAUGUGUCCGGAUGAUAACUCACUCUUGCUUAUGGAGCAUUGUGUGAAGGCUUUGCAUAUACUGUCUUGCUUAGUUUUCACAUCACUCUGAUCAGGAAAGCAUUAUCUUCACUUGAUAGAGAAGCUUAGGCGCCAAGAGAUUAGGUAAUUUAUCGAAAGCCUUAGAGCUGAAACAGUCCUUUGAACGAUUUCCUCCCCCUUGGAACACUUGCUCUUAGGACACUCCCUCUCCUAGACCAGCUGCCAUAUUGUGGGAAGCCCAAGCCGCAAGAAGAGGCUUUGUAUAGACCUUUCAGUCAACAUCCCCAUCUAAGCUCCCAGCUGCCCGCCAGCAUCAGUUUCCAGCCACCUUAGUGAGCCAGCUUGGACUCUUGCCCAGCUCUUCAGCCCAGUUGAGCCCCCGGAUGGCUGUGGCCCCAACCACCAUCACACGGAGCAGAACUGCUCAGUUGAGCUCAGUCAAUCCAAAGACUGUUCCACAGACCUGUGGGCAGGAAGUGGUGCCAAUAAGACCUUUGGGUAGCCCCAGUUGGCAUGUGGAUCCCAAAGCAAAAUUCAACUUCUCUCUCCCAUUCAAAGAGCAGAAGAGGACACUCACAACAGAUUAUCUAACACCUUGAACUUGAACUUGGAGAUUGGCUUCACUCAGCAGGGGUGAACGGAGACAUGAAGGAAGACAGCAGAGCCGCAGUGGCUGCAGUUUCUAAAUUGCCAUUUGGGAUAAAGCAGGAAAGGAGAGAAUUGCUCCAAUGCAGUGGUUUGGGAGUCCUACAUGUGAUGUCCUACACAUAAUGGUCUUACUUCUUUCCACUGAGCCUUCAAUUCUACAAGAGGGGAGUAAAUUGGAUUCGGAACAGAAACUACUACCACUGUCCCAUCACAUGUCCUGUCAGACAUCAGGAAUCCAUCCUGCCAUUUUUUCUGCAGAGUUUCCACAGGGCUUCAGAAUCUUAUUCAUCCCAGCCUUGCAGGCGGCAAUUACUAAUGUAAAGAAAGUGCUCCUUGGGGAACUUUCCCUCUAUAGAAGAAUGUAGUUAAUAAACGGAGAAACUAAUGAUAAUUAGAAUGGCAAUGAUCAUCAGCGGCUGUUUGCUUCAGGUUCCCCACUUGGAAGAAGAGAACACCAUACGGAAAUAUUGCCAAAAAUUUGAACCUCAACUUGAUCAAGCUUCUAGAUUCAACUACCAACUUGUGGGAAAUAGAGAGAGUAGAGAAAAUGUUAAACUACACUAUGAACGUGUAAUCAGUGAAAUCCAGACUGUGGGAAACUGUAUAGGUCAAAUGACCUUUAUUCUUGGGAAAAAAAAAAAAAAGCGUGGAGGGGAAAUCUUUAUAGAUUAAAAGAUACCUGAAAGACAUAUCAAUCAAUCACAGCAUAUGAACUUUACUUUAAAUUUUUAUCACCUUUAUUUAUUUUAAUUAUUUUAUUCAUUUUUUAAAGCUUUUUAACUUAACUCUAGUUGAUUUACAAUAUGGUGUUUGUUUCAGGUAUACAGCUUCAGAUUCUUUUCUGUAAUAGGUUAUUACAAGAUAUUGAACAUAGUUCCAUAUGCUAUACAACAAAUCCUUGUUUAUCUAUUUUAUAUAUAGUGAUGUGUAUCUAUUGAUCCCAAAUUCCUAAUUUAUCCCUCUCCCUCCACUUUCCUCUUUGGUAACUAUAAGUUUGAUUUACUUCACUUAGUAUGAUAAUCUCUAGGUUCAUCCAUGUUGCUGCAAAUGGCAUUAUUUCAUUCUUUUUUAUGGCUGAGUAAUAUUCCAUUGUGCAUGCACACACGCAUACAUGUUUGUAUGUGUGCAUACACACAUACUACAUCUUUAUCCAUUUAUCUGUUGCACUUAGGUUGCGUCCAUGUCUUGGCUAUUGUGAAUAGUGCUGCUAUGAAUAUUGGGGUGCAUGUUUCUUUCAAACUAGACUUUUUGUCUUUUCAGGAAAUAUGCUCAGGAGUGGAACUGCUGAAUCAUAUGGAAGCUCUGUUAUUAGUUUUUAAAGGAACCUCCAUACUGUUGUCUAUAGUGGUUGUACAAACUUACAUUCCCACCAACAGUGUAAAAGAUUCCCUUUUCUUCACAACCUAUUCAGCAUUUGUUAUUUGUAGACUUUGUGAAGAGGACCAUUCUGACUGGUUUGAAGUGAUACCUUAUUGUAGUUUUGAUUUGCCUUUGUCUAAUAAUUAGUGAUGCUGAGCAUCAUUUCAAUGUGUCUGUUGGCCAUCUCUAUGUAUUCUUUGGAGAAGUGUCUGUUUACGCCUUCUGCCCAUUUUUUGAUUUUUUUUGAUAUUGAGUUGUAUGAACUGUUUGUAUAUUUUGGAAAUAAAGCCCUUGUUGGUUGCA
Molecule: long non-coding RNA, 2476 nt
Organism: Camelus dromedarius (Arabian camel)
Lineage: Eukaryota; Metazoa; Chordata; Mammalia; Artiodactyla; Camelidae
Exons: 4
Source: RefSeq, a predicted model, not a curated record